ACCAGCAGCCAUAUCACCCUGCAAUUCACAGCUGGCAGCCCCACUGAAGCUCAGCAGGUGUGAGCCUGGCCAGUACCUGGAUGAGAGACCUCCUGGAAAGCUAUGGUUGCUGUUGGAA
Molecule: ribosomal RNA, 118 nt
Filed under: Lepisosteus oculatus (spotted gar)
Lineage: Eukaryota; Metazoa; Chordata; Actinopteri; Semionotiformes; Lepisosteidae
Source: RNAcentral